UUUCAGGCCUGACGCUUUGUUCCUGGAUACACUUGCUCAUUUCCCAUUGGUCUAUUACAUGACUGGAAGUAUUUGGAGGCUGUUCCCAAGUGUGACUGUAUUGACGGAGUUGACUCAGGUGUCUUACAUAAAGUUCAUGGACAUCUCAGGGCUGACUUUGGCUUCUAAAAAUCUGAGGCACAAAUCCACAUCUGGGUCACAUUUGGGUGAAAUUUUCUGCUUACCAUUUGCUGCAGGUCAUUUCUUUUCAUCCAGCAUGUUGGACAACUCUGUUAUAUCAGACAUUCACCAAAGGUUAACUCAUUUCUUUUAUUUGACUUUUGCUGGGCAUUAAUGGAGAACAAGGUUCUGGACAUUUGUCAAGUUGAAGAAAGCUACUGUCAGGAAGUACCAGAUGUAUGGUCACCUGUACGAAGACUUUUUUCGACAGGUAGGCAAGUACCAUUUGCUAUCUACAGAAUCCAGUCAGUGGACAACCUUAAGGUACAUGCUUCAAGUUCUUCUGGACAUAAAGCUGACCACAACACUUAAACACCGGUCUGAAGGCUACUCCAUGAUGGGCAGCCUAUGUCAUCACCAAGCCAGCAUCUAACUGUUAACUCCUUGUUGGGGACAUUGUCUCUGUCCUUCAACCAGCAUCAAUGUGUGUGACUCC
Long non-coding RNA from Biomphalaria glabrata, 655 nucleotides. RefSeq lists it as uncharacterized. NCBI's taxonomy places the organism in Eukaryota, Metazoa, Mollusca, Gastropoda, Planorbidae. The transcript has 6 exons. The record is from RefSeq and is a predicted model, not a curated record.